ACAUAAGAGGUCCAGCCUGCCCAGUGAUAAAAUUCAACGGCCGCGGUACCCUAACCGUGCGAAGGUAGCAUAAUCACUUGUUCUUUAAAUGAGGACUAGUAUCAACGGCAUCACGAGGGUUAAACUGUCUCCUUUUUCAUAUCAGUGAAAUUAAUCUUCCCGUGAAGAAGCGGGAAUAAUUAUAUAAGACGAGAAGACCCCAUGGAGCUUUAAACCCAACUACACUCCUUCUAACAUUACUUCAAAAUCUCUAGGACUCUGUAUGUUCUGGUUUUAGGUUGGGGUGACCGCGGAGCAUAAACUAGCCUCCACAAUGAAUUAGACCUCCUCUUUAUCCAAGACUAACAUAUCUAAGAAUUAGCAAUCUAACAUAAAAUGAUCCGAUAUUCGAUCAACGAACCAAGUUACCCUGGGGAUAACAGCGCAAUCUACUUCAAGAGCUCCUAUCGACAAGUGGGUUUACGACCUCGAUGUUGGAUCAGGGUAUCCAAGUGGUGCAGCA
Molecule: ribosomal RNA, 502 nt
Filed under: Guibemantis sp. 1 MV-2009
Lineage: Eukaryota; Metazoa; Chordata; Amphibia; Anura; Mantellidae
Description: partial 16S ribosomal RNA
Rfam family: Bacterial large subunit ribosomal RNA
Source: RNAcentral